AUGACCCUCAUCCCCAAGGUCCCGGGCGCCUCCAACAUCCGCCAAUUUCGGCCAAUCACAGUGAUUAAUGUGAUAUUUCGGAUCCUGGCCAAAGGGUACGCCAAUAGGGUGACCCUGCUUGCGGACACGAUUACCCACCCGAACCAAUCUGCCUUCAUACAAGGCCGAUUUAUUCUGGAUGGGGUUCUGGUUUUCCACGAAGUCCUCCAUGAGGUUCGGAUGAAACACCAUCGGGCGAUUUUAUUGAAGCUAGACUUCCACAAGGCCUACGACACGGUCCACUGGCCCUUCUUGCGGGAAGUGUUGCUUCACAAGGGCUUCGACGACCGGUGGGUGACUAGGGUCAUGCAACUUGUCUCUUGUGGCCGGACCGCUGUGAACAUCAACGGAGACAUCGGGCCCUACUUCCCCACCCUCUGUGGGGUUCGCCAGGGUGACCCUUUCUCGCCAUUCUUGUUCAACAUGGUGGUUGAUGUCCUUGCAUCCAUCCUUGAUAAGGCCAAAGAUGCUGUCCAUAUUUGCGGCAUCGUCCCCCACCUAGUCGGAGGGGGAGGGGUCUCCCUCCUCCAAUACGCGGACAAUACCAUAAUUAUGGUGGAGGGCUCCGUCCAAGACAUUGCUAACCUGAAGUUCCUCCUCCUGUGCUUCCAAUAG
Molecule: ribosomal RNA, 654 nt
Filed under: Triticum aestivum (bread wheat)
Lineage: Eukaryota; Viridiplantae; Streptophyta; Magnoliopsida; Poales; Poaceae
Description: partial small subunit ribosomal RNA
Source: RNAcentral